RNAcentral lists this ribosomal RNA (402 nucleotides) under uncultured Sneathiella sp. RNAcentral describes it as "bacterial SSU rRNA". It matches the Rfam family "Bacterial small subunit ribosomal RNA", at positions 353 to 772 of the family's 1533-position model. Lineage: Bacteria; Pseudomonadati; Pseudomonadota; Alphaproteobacteria; Sneathiellales; Sneathiellaceae. The record is from RNAcentral.
AGUGGGGAAUAUUGGACAAUGGGGGCAACCCUGAUCCAGCCAUGCCGCGUGAGUGAAGAAGGCCUUAGGGUUGUAAAGCUCUUUCGCUAGGGAAGAUAAUGACGGUACCUAGUAAAGAAGUCCCGGCUAACUCCGUGCCAGCAGCCGCGGUAAUACGGAGGGGACUAGCGUUGUUCGGAAUUACUGGGCGUAAAGAGUACGUAGGCUGUUUUUCAAGUUGGGUGUGAAAGCCCGGGGCUCAACCCCGGAACUGCACUCAAAACUGGAAGACUAGAGAUCGGAAGAGGUAAGUGGAAUUCCCAGUGUAGAGGUGAAAUUCGUAGAUAUUGGGAAGAACACCAGUGGCGAAGGCGGCUUACUGGUCCGAUACUGACGCUGAGGUACGAAAGCGUGGGGAGCAAA